RNAcentral lists this ribosomal RNA (1704 nucleotides) under metagenome. RNAcentral describes it as "bacterial LSU rRNA". It matches the Rfam family "Bacterial large subunit ribosomal RNA", at positions 1217 to 2925 of the family's 2925-position model. The record is from RNAcentral.
UAGGUGCAUGGGUAGGGGAGCGUUGUAUGUACGUUGAAUUCUGACCGUAAGGACAGGUGGAGCGCAUACAAGUGAGAAUGCCGGUAUAAGUAACGAAAAGAUCAGUGAGAAUCUGAUCCGCCGAAAACCUAAGGGUUCCUGAGGAAGGCUCGUCCGCUCAGGGUAAGUCGGGACCUAAGGCGAGGCCGAAAGGCGUAGUCGAUGGACAACAGGUGGAAAUUCCUGUACCACCGUAGCCGUUAUGAGCAAUGGAGUGACGCAGAAGGAUAGUGACGCGAGCUGAUGGAUGCUCGUCCAAGCAGUGAGGCUGGUUAGUAGGAAAAUCCGCUAACCGUAAGGCUGGGCUGUGAUGGGGAGGGAAAUUUAAGUACCGAAGGUCAUGAUUUCACACUGCCAAGAAAAGCUUCUAGCCAGGCGAAGGUGCCCGUACCGCAAACCGACACAGGUGGGUGAGAAGAGAAUUCUAAGGCGCGCGGAAGAACUCUCGUUAAGGAACUCGGCAAAAUGACCCCGUAACUUCGGGAGAAGGGGUGCCUCGGUAGGGUGAAUAGCCCGAGGGGGCCGCAGUGAAAAGGCCCAAGCGACUGUUUAGCAAAAACACAGGUCUGUGCGAAGCCGCAAGGCGAAGUAUACGGGCUGACGCCUGCCCGGUGCUGGAAGGUUAAGAGGAGUGGUUAGGGGCAACCCGAAGCUAUGAAUUGAAGCCCCAGUAAACGGCGGCCGUAACGAUAACGGUCCUAAGGUAGCGAAAUUCCUUGUCAGGUAAAUUCUGACCCGCACGAAUGGUGUAACGACUUGGGCGCUGUCUCAACGAGAGAUCCGGUGAAAUUUUAAUACCUGUGAAGAUGCAGGUUACCCGCGACAAGACGGAAAGACCCCAUGGAGCUUUACUGCAGCUUGAUAUUGGACUUUGGUACGAUCUGUACAGGAUAGGUGGGAGCCUUUGGAGCCUGAGCGCCAGCUUGGGUGGAGGCGCCGUUGGGAUACCACCCUGAUCGUAUCGGAGUUCUAACCUGGUACCGUGAACCGGUAUGGGGACAGUGUCAGGUGGGCAGUUUGACUGGGGCGGUCGCCUCCUAAAAUGUAACGGAGGCGUUUAAAGGUUCCCUCAGAAUGGUUGGAAAUCAUUCGCAGAGUGCAAAGGCAUAAGGGAGCUUGACUGCGAGACCUACAAGUCGAGCAGGGACGAAAGUCGGACUUAGUGAUCCGGUGGUACCGAAUGGAAGGGCCAUCGCUCAACGGAUAAAAGCUACCCUGGGGAUAACAGGCUUAUCUCCCCCAAGAGUCCACAUCGACGGGGAGGUUUGGCACCUCGAUGUCGGCUCAUCGCAUCCUGGGGCUGAAGUAGGUCCCAAGGGUUGGGCUGUUCGCCCAUUAAAGCGGUACGCGAGCUGGGUUCAGAACGUCGUGAGACAGUUCGGUCCCUAUCUGUCGCGGGCGUAGGAAAUUUGAGAGGACCUGUCCUUAGUACGAGAGGACCGGGAUGGACGUACCGCUGGUGUACCAGUUGUCUCGCCAGAGGCACCGCUGGGUAGCUAUGUACGGAGGGGAUAAGCGCUGAAAGCAUCUAAGCGCGAAGCCCCCCUCAAGAUGAGAUUUCCCAGUAUGUAAGACCCCUUGUAGACGACGAGGUUGAUAGGUUCGAGGUGGAAGUGCAGCAAUGCAUGCAGCUGACGAAUACUAAUCGGUCGAGGGCUUAACCUA